AGGCCACUGCUAUCGGGGUCCGAUUAAGCCAUGCGAGUCGAGAGGGGUAAAGCCCUCGGCGAACGGCUCAGUAACACGUGGAUAACCUACCCUCAGAUCUGGGAUAACUCCGGGAAACUGGAGAUAAUACCGGAUAAUCCGUGAACGCUGGAAUGCCUCACGGUUGAAAGCUUUAGCGUCUGAGGAUGGGUCUGCGGCCGAUUAGGUAGUUGCUGGGGUAACGUCCCAACAAGCCGAUAAUCGGUACGGGUUGUGAGAGCAAGAGCCCGGAGAUGGAUUCUGAGACACGAAUCCAGGCCCUACGGGGCGCAGCAGGCGCGAAAACUUUACACUGCGCAAAAGCGCGAUAAGGGGACCUCGAGUGCGUGCGCAAUGCGUACGCUUUUCAGAUGCCUAAAAAGCAUGUGGAAUAAGGGCCGGGCAAGACCGGUGCCAGCCGCCGCGGUAACACCGGCGGCUCAAGUGGUGGCCGCUAUUAUUGGGCUUAAAGGGUCCGUAGCCGGACCAGUUAGUCCCUUGGGAAAUCUUACGGCUUAACCGUAAGGCUGCCAAUGGAUACUGCUGGUCUUGGGACCGGGAGAGGUAAGAGGUACUUCAGGGGUAGGAGUGAAAUCCUGUAAUCCUUGAGGGACCGCCAGUGGCGAAAGCGUCUUACUAGAACGGGUCCGACGGUGAGGGACGAAAGCUAGGGGCACGGACCGGAUUAGAUACCCGGGUAGUCCUAGCCGUAAACGAUGCGAGCUAGUGUCACGUGGAUUGCGAAUCCAUGUGGUGCCGAA
RNAcentral lists this ribosomal RNA (779 nucleotides) under uncultured archaeon. Its description in RNAcentral is "bacterial SSU rRNA". It matches the Rfam family "Archaeal small subunit ribosomal RNA", at positions 21 to 805 of the family's 1478-position model. The record is from RNAcentral.